UGGGGAAUAUUGGACAAUGGACCGAGAGUCUGAUCCAGCAAUUCUGUGUGCACGAUGAAGUUUUUCGGAAUGUAAAGUGCUUUCAGUUGGGAAGAAAGAAAUGACGGUACCAACAGAAGAAGUGACGGCUAAAUACGUGCCAGCAGCCGCGGUAAUACGUAUGUCACGAGCGUUAUCCGGAUUUAUUGGGCGUAAAGCGCGUCUAGGUGGUUAUGUAAGUCUGAGGUGAAAAUGCAGGGCUCCACCCUGUCUUGCGUUGGAAACUGUAGAACUAGAGUACGGGAGAGAGAAGCGGAACUACAAGUGUAGAGGUGGAAUUCGUAGAUAUUUGUAGGGAUGCCGAUGGGGAGGCCAGCUUACUGGACAGAUACUGACGCUAAAGCGCGAAAGCGUGGGUAGCAAACAGG
This 407-nucleotide ribosomal RNA is filed under the name bacterium. Its description in RNAcentral is "partial 16S ribosomal RNA". It matches the Rfam family "Bacterial small subunit ribosomal RNA", at positions 355 to 776 of the family's 1533-position model. The record is from RNAcentral.